GCCAAGUAGGGUGGGGUGUGCCUAUAGUCCCAGCUGCUUGGGAGGCCAAGGUGGGAAGGAUUGCUUGAGCCUAGGAGUUCUGGGCUGUAGUGUGCUGUGCCCAUCAGGUGACACCCAUUGGGUGUCCGAACUAAGUUCAGCAUCAGAAGCAGGGACCACCAGGCUGCCUAAGGAGGAAUGAACAGCCUGCUUUGGAAACAGAGCAGCAGAAACUCCCAUGCUCAUUAGUGAGGGAAUCACACCUGUGAAUAGCCACGUCUACCUGGGCAACACAGACCCUGUCUCU
Molecule: signal recognition particle RNA, 286 nt
Filed under: Saimiri boliviensis boliviensis (Bolivian squirrel monkey)
Lineage: Eukaryota; Metazoa; Chordata; Mammalia; Primates; Cebidae
Description: Metazoan signal recognition particle RNA (ENSSBOG00000003568.1)
Rfam family: Metazoan signal recognition particle RNA
About the family: The signal recognition particle (SRP) is a universally conserved ribonucleoprotein. It is involved in the co-translational targeting of proteins to membranes. The eukaryotic SRP consists of a 300-nucleotide 7S RNA and six proteins: SRPs 72, 68, 54, 19, 14, and 9.
Source: RNAcentral